CCUACGUGGUGCAGCAGUGGGGAAUAUUGCACAAUGGGGGAAACCCUGAUGCAGCAACGCCGCGUGAGUGAAGCAGUAUUUCGGUAUGUAAAGCUCUAUCAGCAGGGAAGAGAAUGACGGUACCUGACUAAGAAGCCCCGGCUAACUACGUGCCAGCAGCCGCGGUAAUACGUAGGGGGCGAGCGUUAUCCGGAUUUACUGGGUGUAAAGGGAGCGUAGACGGUUCUGCAAGUCUGAAGUGAAAGCCCGUGGCUUAACCGCGGAACGGCUUUGGAAACUGUGGAACUGGAGUGCUGGAGAGGCAAGCGGAAUGCCUAGUGUAGCGGUGAAAGCCGGAGAUAUCUGGAGGAACAUCAGUGGCGAAGGCGACUAUCUGGCACAUAACUGACGCUGAGGAGCGAAAGCGUGGGUAGCAAACAGGAUUAGAUACCCUAGUAGUC
RNAcentral lists this ribosomal RNA (440 nucleotides) under uncultured bacterium. Its description in RNAcentral is "partial 16S ribosomal RNA". It matches the Rfam family "Bacterial small subunit ribosomal RNA", at positions 338 to 795 of the family's 1533-position model. The record is from RNAcentral.